This is an RNA transcript of Lolium rigidum, 3144 nucleotides long. RefSeq lists it as uncharacterized. The record is from RefSeq and is a predicted model, not a curated record. The transcript is spliced from 5 exons. Lineage: Eukaryota; Viridiplantae; Streptophyta; Magnoliopsida; Poales; Poaceae.
UUCUCCUCUCCUCGCUGCCGCCGCAUCUUGUGCCCCUCCCCUCGUGCUUCCCCUCACUCACUGUGCCUCGUCCUCAAUCUCAUCCGCCCCCACACACCGCUGCACUCGCGGGUAAACCCUAGCUCUGCCACAAGCGCAAGCCGUGACCCCUGCGCUGCGUUCUCCUCUUCCCGACGCCCUCCAUGGGGCAGCAGCGGCGGUCGCUGUUUUCCUCUCCCUCCUCACUAGCAACACCGUGGGCGCAUCAUCGACGGCGGCGGUGGAGCAGCCUCCGCACCACCACACUGUCGAUGUCGGCAGAUCCCCUUUGGUGAAGGCAACGGGGCGCCGAAUCGCCUUCGGUCCUCAAGCACUCGUGGGCGGCUUCGCCAUGGCCGACGGAGAAGCGGUAGACUCCAGCGAGAAGCUCCUCAACGAGCUCGUCUACAAGCAAGAUCUCUGGAGGGACAUAUGGAAAGAACCAUUUCUAAUUAGAGCUAGAGAACGAAUAUUCAUAGCACUGUAAGCAUCAGGAGUUCCAACUAUUCCAUGGAGUGGAUCACAUAAUAGACGACCAAGGCAAUUGAGCCGACGAGAAACCUGUUGAUUUGGACUUGCAGGAGCGUGUCUCAGAUGGCUUGACUAUGGAAUUUAUUUGGUUGAGACAGUUGUUUAUGGUGCCGCGCUGGAUCACUGCUCCCUGUUUCAUUCGCCCAUGAUUCAUGAGGUAUAGUUCUUCCUUACCUUUCUUUGGUAGGCUCUCUUGUAAAUGCUUCCGAUUCCUUGCCCUUGCCCCUUCCCGUUUUUCCCCUUCAGAUUGGUGUUGUCCAUGUUUUUCUCUGUCAACCGUGUGUAGCAUCAUCAUCUCCCGCAGCGGCGGAGGGAGGGCCUCUACGUUGAUGAGGUUUGUGAACCCGGCUUUCAACGCUGCAGAGUCGGGAUGUCUUCGCCAGCACGGAACUUGUACACUCUCCACACCACCCGAAGAGAAGCUUUGAGAAUCAGCCACCGAGAAGAAGCACCAUGCAGCUGGCGAGGUUCCAAACCUUCAUGCAGGGAAAGCUAUUUUAGAGCAUUGGUCGGAGUUACAACAAGAUCAGUGUCGCCCAGAAUUUCCUUCUUGGUACUGCAUGGAUAGAUUUGGUUUGAUAUAUGAUCCAUAUACUUAUUGCACUCUCAGACUACAGUCCAUAUGGUACGCUCUACAUCUUUUACUGGUAUUUGAGUUCCCUUGGGCAUGUGUGACAAUCUGGUGGUACCACUUUGUCCUUUAUAAACAUGUGUGGCAACGGGGACUUAUCCAUGCAGGUUGUUGUGUUUAUUGCACAACGGUUUGCAUCGAAGUGCAAUGAAGGUAAUAAAAAAUGGACUGAAUAUUAUGCACAGUCACCUUCAUAGUGACACAGGAAUAUGCUGUUUGAAAGGUACAUGAGCUUGUUUCAAUGAUAGGCAACAGAGAUUUAAACUUUGGUAAAUUUUCUUGCUCUGAGCGGUGCUUAAUGAUAGCUCAUUGGUUUGCAAAUUUUUCUGCAUUUGGUACAAAGUUUACAUCUAGGUUCUGAUUGUUUUUCUCUAGGACAACCUUCAAUAAAGAUUAUCUUUACCGCUUAUUGCUGCUUUUCUUGAUGUCUGUGAGCAGUUUAUAGUUCUAUUUCCUUCCAGUUUGUUUAGGUUAGAAAUUGAAAUAGGUUUCACAUUACAUCAAAUGCAUGGAUUUAAAUAUAAGCUUUUUAAAGAUCUGUUUCAUACACACACAUGCUGCAGAUUAGCUUCUUUCUGAUGUGGACCUCGGAAGUAGUCAUUGUCUGAUCUGUGUCCAUGUUGUGUGACCGUGGCACCAUUUGGGCCAUGUGAACGAACUGAUCAUGCAUAAAGCUUUAGUGCUUCGAUGAAUAGGUGUACUCCGGCUUGGAAUUGUGCUCAUAUGAAUAUUUAUAUCCAUUCGUUCCAUCUUCUCAUAUCCAAUUUAGCUUUUGUUAAAGAAAGGGUGUUGCUUUUGGGGUUUGUCUAGACCAGGCAUUUCUGAUCAAAUUUCUUUUUUUGUGUGGUUUAUAUUAUAGGUAACAAGCAAGGAGGAAAAUUUUGUUUCUAAAUGCGGUCAGUCUUAUGUGUGUUGCGUAUGAUUCGUAUGGUGGACCUCUAAAAUUAUUUGUAUGUGUGUUAGAUUAGCUCUAUAAAGUAGAGACCAUUCUUUUAAGGUUGAACUUAUUUUGGUAUGUCAAUCAAAACCACUUGAAAAAUGAUCAAUGUCUCGCUUAAAUCCUUAAACCUAAUGGUAUAUUGCAGCUUCAAAAAAACUGAAAGAAGCCUAAAAAAAUGUGUUAUAUUGAUAAAUGUUGCUCAGUUUCACUUUGAUAUGUCCUGUUGGUAUGCAUUAAAGCUUCACUUUUUAUGGGCAGAUCUAAAUAAACUAUCAAAGCACCUUUAUUUAGCAUCUUUAUGAGGUCAGGAAAUUAGAUUUGUUUCAUGCUAAUAGAUGUCCUCUCAUUAAUUAUUGAAGUAGUGCCAAGAACCAAAUAUUUGUGCUCAGAAGAAUUAAGUUUUUUGUUCUCAAAAUGUGUCAUGUGUGGCUUCCAAUUCUUUAUGUCCAUCAAGUUGUUUCAAUGAAGGAAACACAUCUGCUAGGACUUUCUACCAGUAAUUGAUGAUUUGUAGGAGUAGAAAGAGCAUUGUCCUUGUCUCGUUACUUCCAGGUCUAUUGAUUUAAUUAUUAUUUAUACAAAUGGAGGAUUGACUCUUCGGUUGGGACGGCGUGGGCUGUGUUCAAGAUAUGGCAGGCCAUCAACCCGAACGGUGUUCUGAAGUCGAGAUCACAUGCCAAGACAACCAUCAAGGUCACAGCUGCCGACCUCCAAUCGAAGAGAAGCCAUAGCAACUAUUGAUUCAAACCGCCUUCAUCACAACCACUUGCAAACAGAGUCAUGCAUUCUUAGUCCCCGCUGGUGUGCGGCAGUGUAGAUAUGUGUGCUGGGAACAAUGAGCAACCUGAGUGGCACGUACUUUUCCUCUGCUGGUGUGAACGUUUGUGUGUUCUGAGUGGACCGUUGUUUUGUCUGGCUAUGAGAUGAUGCGUUACUUGAUGAAUGGAGUGCUACGGCUGGUUUUUACCGCUGUUAUGGUGUUUAUUGGUUCGAAAGAAGUUGAAACUGCCCCAUAUUCUUGCAA